UACGUAGGGUCCGAGCGUUGUCCGGAAUUACUGGGCGUAAAGAGUUCGUAGGUGGUUUUGUCGCGUUGUUCGUGAAAACUCACAGCUUAACUGUGGGCGUGCGGGCGAUACGGGCAGACUUGAGUACUGCAGGGGAGACUGGAAUUCCUGGUGUAGCGGUGGAAUGCGCAGAUAUCAGGAGGAACACCGGUGGCGAAGGCGGGUCUCUGGGCAGUAACUGACGCUGAGGAGCGAAAGCGUGGGGGAGCGAACAGG
Molecule: ribosomal RNA, 255 nt
Filed under: uncultured bacterium
Lineage: Bacteria
Description: partial 16S ribosomal RNA
Rfam family: Bacterial small subunit ribosomal RNA
Source: RNAcentral